AUUGAACGCUGGCGGCAGGCCUAACACAUGCAAGUCGAGCGGUAGCACAGAGAGCUUGCUCUCGGGUGACGAGCGGCGGACGGGUGAGUAAUGUCUGGGAAACUGCCUGAUGGAGGGGGAUAACUACUGGAAACGGUAGCUAAUACCGCAUAACGUCGCAAGACCAAAGUGGGGGACCUUCGGGCCUCAUGCCAUCAGAUGUGCCCAGAUGGGAUUAGCUAGUAGGUGGGGUAACGGCUCACCUAGGCGACGAUCCCUAGCUGGUCUGAGAGGAUGACCAGCCACACUGGAACUGAGACACGGUCCAGACUCCUACGGGAGGCAGCAGUGGGGAAUAUUGCACAAUGGGCGCAAGCCUGAUGCAGCCAUGCCGCGUGUGUGAAGAAGGCCUUCGGGUUGUAAAGCACUUUCAGCGGGGAAGAAGGCGGUGAGGUUAAUAACCUUGUCGAUUGACGUUACCCGCAGAAGAAGCACCGGCUAACUCCGUGCCAGCAGCCGCGGUAAUACGGAGGGUGCAAGCGUUAAUCGGAAUUACUGGGCGUAAAGCGCACGCAGGCGGUCUGUCAAGUCGGAUGUGAAAUCCCCGGGCUCAACCUGGGAACUGCAUUCGAAACUGGCAGGCUAGAGUCUUGUAGAGGGGGGUAGAAUUCCAGGUGUAGCGGUGAAAUGCGUAGAGAUCUGGAGGAAUACCGGUGGCGAAGGCGGCCCCCUGGACAAAGACCGACGCUCAGGUGCGAAAGCGUGGGGAGCAAACAGGAUUAGAUACCCUGGUAGUCCACGCCGUAAACGAUGUCGAUUUGGAGGUUGUGCCCUUGAGGCGUGGCUUCCGGAGCUAACGCGUUAAAUCGACCGCCUGGGGAGUACGGCCGCAAGGUUAAAACUCAAAUGAAUUGACGGGGGCCCGCACAAGCGGUGGAGCAUGUGGUUUAAUUCGAUGCAACGCGAAGAACCUUACCUGGUCUUGACAUCCACAGAACUUUCCAGAGAUGGAUUGGUGCCUUCGGGAACUGUGAGACAGGUGCUGCAUGGCUGUCGUCAGCUCGUGUUGUGAAAUGUUGGGUUAAGUCCCGCAACGAGCGCAACCCUUAUCCUUUGUUGCCAGCGGUUAGGCCGGGAACUCAAAGGAGACUGCCAGUGAUAAACUGGAGGAAGGUGGGGAUGACGUCAAGUCAUCAUGGCCCUUACGACCAGGGCUACACACGUGCUACAAUGGCAUAUACAAAGAGAAGCGACCUCGCGAGAGCAAGCGGACCUCAUAAAGUAUGUCGUAGUCCGGAUUGGAGUCUGCAAUUCGACUCCAUGAAGUCGGAAUCGCUAGUAAUCGUAGAUCAGAAUGCUACGGUGAAUACGUUCCCGGGCCU
RNAcentral lists this ribosomal RNA (1361 nucleotides) under uncultured bacterium. RNAcentral's name for it is "bacterial SSU rRNA". It matches the Rfam family "Bacterial small subunit ribosomal RNA", at positions 28 to 1381 of the family's 1533-position model. The record is from RNAcentral.